Molecule: ribosomal RNA, 109 nt
Filed under: Vulpes vulpes (red fox)
Lineage: Eukaryota; Metazoa; Chordata; Mammalia; Carnivora; Canidae
Source: RNAcentral
GUCUAUGGCCAUACCACCCUGAACGCACCAAUCUCGUCUGAUCUCAGAAGCUAAGUACGGUCGAGCCUGGUUAGUACUUGAAUGGGAGACAAAUUGGUUUUGAUAAUUU